ACAGUCAGGAAAAUGAAGCUGAACAUCAAGUCCCAGCAAGAAAAGAAGGAAAAGGAAUGCCAAGCAGUCAUGUUAGCAGUUUGAAGGGGCUGGAGCAAGAUGGAAUCAGGAAUAAGGAGUCAGUGGGACCAUGUACAACACUGGAAGACACGUAUCCCUUCGCCUGGACAAGGAGCACUUGGUCAACAUAUCUGGAGGGCCCAUGACAUACAGCCACCGGCUGGAGGAGAUCCGACUACACUUUGGGAGUGAGGACAGCCAAGGGUCGGAGCACCUCCUCAAUGGACAGGCCUUCUCUGGGGAGGUGCAGCUCAUCCACUAUAACCAUGAGCUAUAUACGAAUGUCACAGAAGCUGCAAAGAGUCCAAAUGGAUUGGUGGUAGUUUCUAUAUUUAUAAAAGUUUCUGAUUCAUCAAACCCAUUUCUUAAUCGAAUGCUCAACAGAGAUACUAUCACAAGAAUAACAUAUAAAAAUGAUGCAUAUUUACUACAGGGGCUUAAUAUAGAGGAACUAUAUCCAGAGACCUCUAGUUUCAUCACUUACGAUGGGUCGAUGACUAUCCCACCCUGCUAUGAGACAGCAAGUUGGAUCAUAAUGAACAAACCUGUCUAUAUAACCAGGAUGCAG
This 628-nucleotide long non-coding RNA is filed under the name Homo sapiens (human). Its description in RNAcentral is "non-protein coding lnc-MBTD1-4:1". The record is from RNAcentral. Lineage: Eukaryota; Metazoa; Chordata; Mammalia; Primates; Hominidae.